Hevea brasiliensis (rubber tree) is the source of this 2442-nucleotide RNA transcript. It is a transcript of the gene named transcription initiation factor TFIID subunit 12b, with no coding region annotated. The transcript is spliced from 9 exons. Lineage: Eukaryota; Viridiplantae; Streptophyta; Magnoliopsida; Malpighiales; Euphorbiaceae. The record is from RefSeq and is a predicted model, not a curated record.
CACCCCCCCCCCCCCCCCCCCCUCCCUUGCACAAAACCAAAAUUCCUUCUUAUAAUGGCAGAAACUGCAGCUUCUUCCCCUCUACCCAUCCCUUCUCCGAAUCCGAUGGACCCAUCACCACCACCACCUCCUUCUCAGCCGCAACCACAAUCACAACCACAGCCCACGACGUUAACAAAUUCGAACUCCAACACCUUAGCUCUAACACCACCACAACCACAAGCACAAACACCAACAUCCAGCAUGUCGAAUUUACCUCAAAAUCCAAAAAUUGCAUCUCCAUCUGUUGAUCCACAAAUCUCAUCGCCUUCUCUUUCCUCUCAACAACAACAGCAACCUGUUGUGCAGCUGCAGCAGCAAUUGCAGCAACAGAAUGUCACAGCCACGUCCAACUAUCAAAUUCCACAAUCUCUUCAAAGAUCUCCUUCUAUUUCUCGUUUAAGCCAAAUUAACCAACAGCAACAGCAGCAGAAUCAAUACAGUGGUGUCUUGAGGCAGCAGCAGCAACAGGGACUAUAUGGGCAAGUGAAUUUUGGUGGGUCGGGUUCAAUUCAACAGAAUUUACAGCAGAAUUCGCAGAAUCAACAGAUGGGUGGUGCCAACUUUUCGCGGUCUACACUUCUUGGCCAGAGCGGGCAUCUGCCUAUGCUGAAUGGAGCAGGGGCAGUGGCAGCAGCAGCAGCUGCAGCUCAGUUGAAUUUGUUGGCCUCGCAGAAAGCUGGUUUAGUCCAAGGGUCUCAAUUCCAUCCUGGUAAUUCUCCGGGGCAGCCUUUGCAGGGAAUGCAAGCAAUGGGAAUGAUGGGGUCACUCAAUUUGAGCUCACAACUAAGGCCUAAUGGUGCUCUAAGUUAUGCUCAGCAACGGAUAAAUGCUGGACAAAUGAGACAGCAACUGGCACAACAACAUCCACUCACCUCUCCUCAGGUUCCAAACCUAUCAAGGAAAUCAUCAUUGGCAUUUAUGAACCCUCAGCUGUCCAGUCUGGCUCAGAAUGCACAACCAGCUAUGAUGCAGAACUCUUUGUCACAGCAGCAAUGGUUGAAGCAAAUGCCAGCAAUUUCUGGUCCUGCCUUACCAAUCCGUCUUCAACAGCACCAGAGGCAGUCACCGGCUCUUUUGCAGCAGCAAUUGGCUUCAUCUCCUCAGUUGCACCAGAAUUCAAUGCCUUUAAACCCACAACAAUUAUCCCAACUGGUACAGCAUCAGUCAUCAAUGGGUCACCAACAACUGCAUCAUCAGCAGCAGCAGCCACAGCAGCAGCAACAGCAGUUGCAACAACAACAACAUCUAUUACAACAGCAGCAACCACAGCAACAAUUGCAACAACAAUUAACCUUACAUCAGCAGCAGCAACAGCAAUCUCCAAGGAUGCAAGGGCCCACAGGCCAGAAAUCUCUUAGCUUGACGGGAUCACAACCAGAUGCAACAGCAUCUGGUACGACUACACCUGGGGGGAGUUCAAGCCAGGGAACAGAAGCAACUAAUCAACUGCUUGGGAAGAGAAAGAUACAGGACUUGGUUUCACAGGUAGAUUCACGGGGAAAGCUAGAUCCUGAAGUCGAAGAUCUUCUUUUGGAGAUUGCUGAUGAUUUUAUUGAGUCGGUGACUACAUUUACAUGCAGUUUGGCCAAGCACCGAAAAUCUUCAACUUUAGAAUCCAAGGAUUUAUUGCUACACUUAGAGAAGAAUUGGCAUCUGACAAUUCCUGGAUUUUCAACUGAAGAAAGAAACUUCCAAAGAAAACCUUUAUGGAGUGAUCUUCACAAGAAGCGUUUGAUAUGAUUCGUGCAUAUAGAGAGUCCUCUGACUCAGAAACAAAUAAUAAUAAUAAUCCUAAAGAGAUGAUGAGAGAUGAUGAGACAAGGGCUAGGCAACCCAGUUGUUAUUAACCACCUGAUAUGACCUUCACCAAGUUCAGAGCAGUUGGUUUCCCAGUCAACCAGUUAUCAAAUGCUGCUGCAGAUCACACGGUUUUAAUGGAUAUGUUUCUCAUUUCUGACAGUGUCUCCAUGCUGAUUGGGUAUAACAUGGACAUGGACCUUGUUGAGUUGGAUUGGCAGAAUCUUUAGCUGUAGUGGCAGAUGUGUAAUUUCUUGGCUAGCAGUAGAGGCCUGAAAAUGGAUUUACAAGAUUGCAGCGUUGAUCAUCUGAUUUACAGUUAUUGUUGAUGUAUGAUUAUUUGAUCUUGUGAUUAUGACCACAAGAAUAUACUUUGAUGCAGUUAUAUGAGCACCAGAAUAUGCUAUAGUGCAGUUAUCAAAAAGAAAGAAAGGGAUAUCCUUGGGAGAGAGUUAAUGAGCUGAUAAAUUUAGAAAUAGCUCCCAGACCCCAGUUCAAGCUCUUGCAGCUUAAAGUGUAAAAUGGAACUUGGGUUGGGUCGCAUGUCGUAUAGCUGUGUUGUUUAAUAUUUUAUUAAUUAUUACAGAAACUUGUUUUUUCUUA